Long non-coding RNA from Chiroxiphia lanceolata (lance-tailed manakin), 1144 nucleotides. RefSeq lists it as uncharacterized. Lineage: Eukaryota; Metazoa; Chordata; Aves; Passeriformes; Pipridae. The record is from RefSeq and is a predicted model, not a curated record. The transcript has 2 exons.
GGUUAACGGUACAGAAGUGAUAUCAAGGAGAACUAACUGAGCUCCACAGGCUAAGGCUCUGAGUGAACAUCCUUUAGCACAAAUGAAGAGCAUGUUGGAGCUGAAAGAAGACACAGGACAAGGCAGAUAUCACAGGACAAGGCAGAUAUCUUUUGGGCUUUUAACUUGGAAGUAUACAAUGGAGUUUAAUGUGCUUUUCAUUUGUAACCUCAAAGUACUUCACAGAGAGUGGCUGGCAUCAGGAUCCCUCAUGAUAAUGAGCUUGAGCCCUGGGACCCUGGGUCCCUGCAGGGAUGUUGGGUAGGGUUUCAAAGGGGGUUAAAGAAGCAGGCAUCAAUCCACAAGGAUGGUGCAGCAGUGAGAACCCAAAUAUGUUGACCCUACUCUUUCAUAAUGUCCACACCUCUUGGGCUUGGAUUUGAUUCAGAACUCAGAUGAGGUCCUGUUUUUGGGAUGAAUGUGAGUGGUUUAGGGUCUUUCUGCACCUGCUGGGAGAGCUGUGCCCAGCAGUGAGCCAGGCCCCUUUCUGUUCUCUCACUAAUGGUGUGGAGAAUUGUUGCUUGCUGGUGAGAGAAGCAGGGGCACUGAAUUAAACUGACAGCUGAAACAGAGCCAUUAAAAGGGUGUGGUUCUUUGAAUAUGUGGUUCACGUGUGAAGAUCUUUGCUGCAGACACUGUAGGUGCUAUAUGCUUGCUCUCAUUGGCUUCAGAGGAGUCUGGACUAGUUUAGGGCAGGGAAACCUACUGAGGGUUAUAAAGACAUCAACAAUGGCUCAUGAAACCCUGGUUGCAGUGUGCUAGAGGGAAUUUUAUGGUUUUCUGGAUAUUCCAGAUAUAUAUUUGAUAUUUGGUCUCUGAAGAACAGGCACCCUCUAGUUUCUUCCCAUCACUGAUGGACUAAAGGGUCCUGGCUAGAUGGACCUUUGAUGUAACCAAGGAUAGCUGACCAUAAAUUCUUAUGUCAACUUGAUCUGUAAUUGUUACAUCAGAAAUUCUGGCAUGAACUGAUGAUUAGUGUAAAAGUUGACACUGUUUUGUUUAUCUGGGUGAAAGCUUCAACUGUGAUUGCUAAACAGAGACUGCUGCAAAUCUGCUCCAAAUAUAAAAUCCCACCUGUAAAAUGUAUUAAAAUUCUGAGCCAGAA